Molecule: long non-coding RNA, 16543 nt
Filed under: Lynx pardinus (Iberian lynx)
Lineage: Eukaryota; Metazoa; Chordata; Mammalia; Carnivora; Felidae
Source: RNAcentral
UUCAGCCAGCAGUAUCUGUUGGAAAUGUUGGCCAGCUUGCAAUAGAUUUGAUUAUUUCUACACUGAAUAUGUGUAAGAUUGGUUACUUCUAUACUGAUUGUCUUGUGCCAAUGGUUGGAAACAAUCCAUAUGCAACUGCAGAAGAAAAUUCAACAGAACUCAGUAUAAAUGCUGAAGGUAUGUAAGGUUUUGCAUGUUUUAUUCUCUUACAAGGAAGAGUUGUUUUAAAUCAGAAAUAGAUUCAAUGGAUAUUGUUUUAUAGCAUAUAUUUAUUUAGUGCCAGUUUUGUGCAGUAUUUAUGACCUGGUCAUAUUGUCCUAUUGUACAUCAUGGUUUUAGUUCUUAGUCUUUUCUAAAUGGCAGCUCCUAAGAUGACUGUACUUAUAUUUUUUACUAGAAUUUGAGAUUUCCUUUUUUUUUAACAUAAAGGUUUUUUGUCCUUCUUUUAUCCUCAGUUUUAAUUUCUGAUCUUUCUGGCAAGUAUAAGCACCACUAAUACUAGAGAAAGGGGUAAAGAGAAUUCCACCGAGCUCAGUCCUGUAUGUUUAACAUGUGCUACCUUACGUAGGCCUGAUAGUUAUCCUCUCAUGUUAUUAUAGAAUCCAUAAUAAUAUAAUAUUGAUAAGGCUCAGAGAAUUGAGUUGCCUAAUACUACUAGUAGACAUAGGCUUUUACCAUGCCAUAAAUCUCCAUAAUUCCUCAUUGCACUGUCAUGUUUGUUUUAAUUGGGGAACACAGUUGACAUUGCCGUGACCACUGUGUUUAUAGUACAGAACUGCUCUGAGUGAGUGGGGGAAAGCUAUUGAUCAUGAAGCACAGGAGCACCCACUUGCUUCGUUUGAUGACAAGGUGCUCUGUUGGCUUCUCAGUGUUCUGUUUACCAUAAGACUGAAUUCAGCUAUUGCCUUAAAGGAUAAAGUACUAGAAAUAGUAGAACUAGAAUUUAUAUACUUCCACUAAUGAUAACAACUAUCAUUUUAUAUGAGCUGAGCACUGUGUGCAUUAAUACUCUUUACAUGUAUUAAUCCAUUUAAUCCUCACAACUACUCUAUAAGUAGUCUUAUAGAUGAGGAAACCAUUGUACAAAGAAGUUAAGGUCACAUGACUAAUAAUUGGUGUACCUGAGUUUCUAAUCAAGGCUCUGGCCCCUGAGACCUGUUUCUUAAGCACCACACCACCCUGAUGGACCUUCACACUAGUGGAAGACCCACUGGCUUUUCUCUGACACAAACUCACAACAAGUCAAUUGGCUAUGUCCUUUAAUCUACUUUAUCUAUUUUUAAGAUGAGGUAUUUUGAAAUAAAUUAUAGAUAUCAUGACAUUCCACCUCUAAAUACGUAUUUGUCUUUUUAAAGAACGUUUUCUUUAUAGCUAAAAUACUAUCACAUUUAACAAAAUUAGUAAUUUCUUAAUAUCUUAACUAUACCCUAUCCAUAUUCAGACUGUUCCAGUUUACCCCAAAAUGUCCUUCAAAGUUAGUUUGUCUAAACCAAGACCCACUAGGGGCACCUGGGUGGCUCUGUUGGUUAAGCACAGAGCCUGGAGCCUGUUUUGAAUUCUGUGUCUCCCUACUGCCCCCCGCUCACACACUGUCUCUCUUUCUCUCUUUCAAAAAUAAAUAAACAUUAAAAAAUAAUAAUAAAAAAAUAAACUAAGACCCACCAUAGUACUUCUGAUUGUUAUGCCUCGGAAACUUUUUACUGUAGAGCAGUCUCUUUUUUUUUUUAAUCCCUUCAUGAAACUAAUUUAUUGAGGAAACAACUAGAUCCAUUGUCCUAUUGAAUGUCCUAUCUUCUGCAUAUGUCUUAUAACUUCCUUGUAGUGUCAUUUAUCUUGGUCCCCUAGUGUCUGUAUUUUCUGUAACUUCUUAGAUCUAAAGCCUUGAUUAGAUAAAAGCUACAUAUUUUAUACCAGAAAACAUGAAAGGUGAUGUUGCUUUUGUAUUGUAUCACCUCAGAAGAGAAAAGUAAUGGGAAGCAGGAUCUUAAAAAAGAUUUUCCUGAUACACUGAUGAUGAAUAUGAGUGCUAAUAUUGUAGGAGGUGGUAUGUCUUACAUUUUGCUCACUCCCUACAGAUGUAUCCUCUUCCCAUUAAGUCUGUUGAAUUGCACUAAAUGUGCACAUCAGAGAUAGAUUACAGGCCUAAGUGGCUCAUGUUUUAGUCCCUUUCCCCUAAAUUUGUGCUCUUUUCCCUAAUUCCUAAAUUUCUGCUCUUACCUCCUUUGUCCUGAAAAUACCUGGAGGUCAUUAGGCUUGCUGCUUCAGCAUAGCCCCUAGUCACUACCCCAGUCCAACACUCCCCAAAAGAGCUAUAGCUGGAGAGACAUGAUCUGCCAAAGGAUUUACUGGAGUCUGGGUUAUUUGUAAAUUAUUUUACAGUAACUAAAAUUUUACUCUUUAGCACAGUGGCCUAAUCAUGCCUCUAAGAAACUCCAUAUUUUGUCCUUGGUUCUCAUUCUCAGAGGUGAGGUUGGGCAGGGACAUGUUAAGCGUCAGUACAGUAGGCCCCCUUGUAGAAUGUGAGUGAAGGUUGUGGAUCCUUUUCCUUGAAGAAGAGCACACACCUUGACUCAGAAAAUUUUACAUAUUAUCUUGCAUGUUAUCUUUCAAAAACUUCUAAAGAACACAAAUGUACCUAUUCCAGGGAUUUUAUUAUAUGGCUAACAUUCUCUUGCAUUUUAUUCCUUCUCUAAAUCCCAAUGAGUGUUGCUCUUCUCCAGAGAGAAGAGGGGAGCAUAACUUUUUUUUUUUUAAAGAGAGAGAGAGAGAGAGAGCAGGGGUGCCUGGGUGGCUCAGUCGGUUAAGCGUCUGACUUAGGCUCAGGUCGUGGUCUUACGGUCCAUGAGUUUGAGCCCGGUGUCAGGCUCUCCUGAUAGCUGAGAGCCUGGAGCCUGCUUCAGAUUCUUUGUCUCCCUUUCUCUUUGCCUUUCCCCUGUUCUCACUCUGUCUCUCUCUCUCUUUCUUUUUCUCAAAAAUAAAUAAACAUUUAAAAAAAAAAAAAAAAAGCAUGUGUGAGGGAUAGGGGCAGAGGGAGAGAGAGAAUCCUAAGCAGGCUCCCACUCAGCACAGAGCCUGACAUGGGGUUCGAUCUUACAACCCUGGGAUCAUGACCAGAGCCAAAAUCAAGAGUUGGAUACUCAACCAACUAAGCCACCCAAGUGCCCCUUUUUGUUUUUUGUUAGUUUUUAGCUAAGAACAUUCUUUUUUAUGUUUUAUUUAUUUUUUUGAGAGAUUGUGCAGGUGGGGGGGGGGGGCGGGCAGAGAGAGAGAGAAGGAUAGAGGAUCCGAAGCAGGCUCUGCGCUGACAGGCUGACAGCAGAGAGCCCAAUGUGGGGCUCGAACUCACAAACUGUGAGAUCAUGACCUGAGCCAAAGUAAGACACUCAACCGACUGAGCCACCCAGGCACCCCUUAAAUAAAAACAUUCUUAAGAAUGAUUUCAUGUAUCAUAACACCAGAAGUUUCUGGGGAAUUCUUCCCUGAUUCUACAAUCACAGUCAGAAGAAAUAUAAUUUUAUAUUUUCUUAACAGUUAACCUUUCAGAAAUGAAUCUGUUUAUUGAAUAAAGCCCACAGGUGCAUUUUAAGGUACUUCUAAAAUGUUCUAUUUUAACUGAAUGAUAUAGUUCAUAUGUUUUAUAUUUAAUUAUUGAAAAUAUUAGGUAUAAAAGUUCUUACAAUUCAAUAUUAGUUUUUAUGUUAGUAAUUUCACUUGUAUAACUCCAUCAUUUUAACUCUCAUGAUUUCAUUUUCUUUUUGUCUUUGUAGUAUAUUCAUUGCCUUCAAAGAAACUAGUGGCUCUUCAGUUAAGAUCCAUUUUUAUUAAGGUUAGUAUAUUUGUCUUUUUAAGUUGAUUGAAGUGAAAUGUAAUGAGAAAAUACUAAGUAUUAUUAAGAAUUAAGAUUCAAAACUCAGUUCUGCUCUUUUUACUGUAUGUACGGUUAAGAAAAGUCUGAUUCUAUAGAGAACCAAUCUUAGAAUAGGUGUUACCAUCAUUUACUGAUUGAUUAUAUUGAAAGGAAAUGAGGCAUACUGUUUGGAUCUUAUAUAUUCCCAAUUUAGGUAACAUGGGUGAAAACAUUUAAACAAAUGAAUAUUUUGGAUUUAGUCCAUUUGUAUUACAUUUCAACCAGUGACAUCUACAUAUAAAUUAUGUACAUGUCAAAAUAAAUUCUGAAUCUAACUUCUUUCCUCUUCCACCACUACCACUCUUGUCCAAAUCACUGCCUUCUCUCCUACCCCUAAUUCUAUUCUUGCUCUGCCCACUUCCAUAAAUACCUAAUUGUCUGCAGAUAGCACCACCAGUUAUCCUUUAAACCUAAAUCAAAUCCAUCACUUCUCUUUUCAGACCCUCUGGUGGUUUCUUGUUUUCAUCCCAGUGAACUCCCAGCCCUUACUGUGACUUAUUAGGCUCUACCUCUGUGCUGGUAUGGUAGCCACUAUCCACAUGUAGCUAUUUAAAUUUUGAUUUAUAAACUAAAAUAAAAUUAAAAAUUCAGUUCCUGCUUCACACUAGACACAUUUGAAGUUCUCCAUAGCCAUGUGUGGCAAGCAGCUGCCAUAAAGAGCACUUCCAUUAUCACAGAGAGUUCUCUUGGACAACUGCUUUACUUAAUCGAACUUAGAGCCAUUCCUGUUUGCUCAUUAAUAGUUUCCCUCUUUCAUUAACCCUGCUUUAGCCACACUGGUCUCCCUGUGUUGUUCAGACAGAUUAAGCUCACUCCCAUCUCAGAGUCUUUACAUUAUUUUCUCUGCCUGGAAUACUUUUCUUCUAGAUACCUAAAUGGUUUACUUCCUUCAGUCCUUGCUUAAAUGCUGCCUCAUCAGAAAGGCCUCCCCUGACUACCCUAUUGUCUUAUCCUGGGGUGGUUUUCUUCACAAUUCAUCACUACUUAGAGUAUCAUAUAUUUGUUUAUUAUCUACCUCUAAUAUAAAGUAAGUAUUCUGAGAGAAGUGACAGUGUAUCACUCACUUUCAUAUCCCCAGCUUCUAGAAAAGUAUGUAGCAUGUAGAGGAGCUCUUAGUAAAUGUUGGUUGAGUCGAUUAAGGUACCAUCUGUUAAGAAGGUCAGAAAAUUAUCAGCUUUCUGUUGCCUCUCCCGCAUACUCCAUCUUAGUUAUAUUAUUAUGUAAAUGGAAUCUCAUGGCAUGUACUUUAUGUCUAGCUUCCUUUACUCAACAUUCUGUUAGUGAGGUCCAUCCAUGUAGUUCGAAGGAGAGGUCGUUUGUUCAUUCUCACCUCUAUGUGGGAUUCUGUUGUAUAAAUAAGCCAUAAUUUAUCCAAUGUACUGUUAAUGGAAUGUUAGGUUUUUUUCUAGUUUGAGACAACUGUGAAUAGUGCUAUGAUUAUUUUAAUAUUCAUAUUAGAUCCACUCUUUACUUUCUUUAGUUAACAAUACCAUACCCAAAGUUUUGCAGUGAGAGUUGCUAAUAUUUUUCCAUUAUGCUAUGUGGCUUUUUCUGUUCUCUUCCUAAUACCAGUGUAAGUUCAAGAAUUAAGAAAGACAAACAUGUCUGAAUGAAAUUUUUGGUAGAUGGGAAUAGUGAUUUCAAAAUAGCUAACAUUUAUUGAGCAUUGAUUUCUUCACACCAAUAUGGCUGUGAGUACUUUAUAUAUAUAUUACUCUACACAAGCAUCUCAACAGUGUGACAAAGCAGGUAUUAACAUUAUCCUCAUUUGUAAAAUGAGAUUUCAGAAAACUGAAACACAGUUUUUUAAUUUAAUCAGGCUGUACCAUCUCCCUAGUUGAAGAACUAGCUAUUUCUUAUCUGCAUUUUAAAUUUUAUUGAAUAAUUAUUUAAUAGCGGUCUGUGAGAAGAAUUUCCAUAAAGUAAUUUUCCCCCCAAAAUUGUAUAAUCCACUUCCCAGAUUAACCAACUGUUAAUAUCUUGCCAUACCUGCUUGAUUCUCUCUCUCUGCAUGUGCAUGCAGUUUCCUUCUGCCAAAUAAUUCAAAAGUAGGCUGGUGAUGUUAUGAUAUUUUACCCAUAAAUAGUUCAGCAUGUAUCUCUCCUUCAUGACAUUCUCCUUCACAACCACAGCAGCAUUAUCACACCUAAGAAAAUCAGCUCUUAAUGAAUUAUUCAGUAGUAUCAUAAGACAUAUUCAAAUUUUCCCAAUUGUCCCCAAAAUAUUCUUCAGUUUUGGAACCUUCAAUCAAGGUUCACAUGUUACAUUUGGCUGUAACGUCUUUUUAGUUGUUAGCCUUUGACGUAGAAGUGGCCUCCUUUUUCUGUUCUUCAUAGUAUUCACUCUUCGAGGAUUCAUGCCAGAUGUUCAGCAUCCUAGAUUCACCUAAUCAUUUCCUGAUCAGAUUCAGGUCAGAAAUUUCUAGCAAGAAGAUCUCAUAGAUGACCAUGUGAUAGUUUUUAUAGAUGACCAUGUGAUAGUUUUUAAGUAACAAUAGAUUAAGUAGAGAACUGGGAAAUUUUCCUUUGUCCAUCAGCAUAGAAUUUUUUUGAAACUAGAUUUCUUGUGAUUUAUUUCUUAAUUGUAAAGCUACAAUAAACAAUUCAUUGCUCUUCGUCUCUCACCUUCAGUUUAAGGACAGGAAAGUAGAAGUAAAAAUAAUUAUAAUUUUAAUACAUAAAUUAUCAUCACAUAAAGCUAAUAAAAUAUUUUAUAUAAUACUCUUAUUAUAUGCUAAGAUCUAACUUUGAGACUUUCUUUUUAUUCUUUCAAUGGUAUACGAAGUAUAAAUCAAAGCCAUUCUGUGAAAAACUGCUUUCCUGGGUGAAAAGUAGUAACUGUGCCAAAGUUAUUGUUCUUUCAAGCAGUCAUUCAUAUCACCGUAAUGACCUACAGCUUCGCAGGUAUGCUUUUGCCUUUGAAAAGUUUUGUUUUAAUUUAUGCAAUAUUAUGAUGGUGUCUCUAUUAAAAAGCUAAAAUAAGUUUUAAAAGUUAUGUAUAUUUUUACCUCCCCUCUCUGGAAUUUAGAAAGAUGAUAAAGUCAGGAGAUAGGAGGGAGUAUGGUUAGUAGUGUUAUGGUUGAGGCAGAAGGAAGGCUUUGGUGUAAAGAUAUAGAUUGUUCUGGAACUGUGCUUCGGUUGUUUGGUAUGGUGUGUGGUGACAUUACAGAGCUGAGCUGAUAAAGAGAAAGAGGAGAGAUUCAUUGGAUGAUUUUUGGAAAAUUGAAUUCGUAUUUCUAUUUAUUCAGUCAUUGCAGAAAUCCAGUUGCCUCUAAGUAUAAAUCAGGUAUGUCACACUGAAUUCCUAAAUAUAAGGCAAAGUAUCCAAGAGAUAGAAAUAUAAACUAUUUCAUUAUCAUUUCCGCACCUAUAAAAUCAUGAUGAAAAGCAUUAGCCAAGACUAACCUUUCAAAACUGGAGCUAAUUUCUAGGAAUCUCACAAUAAACAUACAAUUCUAGGAAUCUCACAAAAGUCCUCUUGGCCAGAAGGGAGCAUAGCUUGUGGGAAAUUGAUUAUCUUCAUGCUGACCUUGCCUUAGUUUAAGUUGGUCUGGGUCCUUAUGCUCUCUCCUAAGUGUGUAAAUAGCAAGCCAGAGCAAUAUUUUUAUAUGCUAUUCUUCCGUAGACUGCUGAAACUUGUGCUUUGCUUUUGCAACAAAAUACACAUGGAACAAAUAGUAUUUGCUAAAAGAACUGAUACUUGCCUUAAUGUUCAAAUUUAUUAUGUUUUUAAAAACUGAAUUAUAUGAUUGCUUCUAGUACUCCCUUCAGAUACCUGCUUACACCUUUCUUGCAAAAAACUGUUCAAAAUAAAAUAAAGAGCCUGAACUGGGAAGAAAUGGAAAAAAGCCCAUGCAUUCCUGAAAUAGAUGAUUCUGAGUUUUGUAUCCGUAUUCCUGGAGGAGGUAUCACAAAAAUACUCUAUGAUGAAGGGUGAGUUUGUCUGUUUGUUCAUUUGUUCCCCCACCUUAUUUAAAAAUGAAAGUAGGAAGGGCUGGCUCAGGCCGUAGAAUGUGUGACUCUUUGAUCUCUGGGGUCACCAGUUCAAGGCUCACAUUGGGUGUGGAGCCUACUUAAAAAUAAUGAAAGUAAGAUAAGUGGGAGAGUGUGUUGGAUUACUUAUCAGAACUUUGAGAAUAUGUUUAUAUAUUUACACAUCACAUAAUUUAAGUGUGGUAAAAUAUACGUAACAUUAAAUUUAACCAUUUUUAAGUGUACAAUUAAGUGGCAUUAAUGCAUUUACGGUGUUGUAUAUCCAUCACCAUCUGUCCACUUUCAGAACUUUGUCAUCGUUCUAAACAGAGAAUCUGUACUCAUUAAAUAAUAACUCCUACUUAUUUCUGCAAAGCCCAUACUAAUAUCCUCACUUUCAUUUCUGAUUUUAGUAAUUUGAGUUUUCUUUUAUUCUUAGUAAAUUUUGUUGAUCUUUUCAAAUAACUACUUUUGGUUUUAUUGAUUUUCUCUAUUGUUUUUCUGUUUUCUAUUUAUCUCCACUCUAAUCUUCAUUAUUCCCUUUCUUCUGGUAACUCCAGGUUUAGUUUCCCUUUCUUAUUAUAGUUCCUAAGAUGUAAACUUAGGUCAUCAAUCUGAGAAAUUUCUUCUUUUUAAAUACAUGCAUUUACAGCUGAAACUUUUCCUCAUACUCUACUUUAGCUGCAACUCUUAAAUUCAGCAUGUUGUUUUCAUUUUCUUUCUCCUGUAUUUUUCUGAUUUCCCAUGUGAUUUCUUCUUUGACCUAUGUCUUCCUUGACUGUAUUAAUUUCCAUAUAUUUGUGAAUUUUCUGGUUUUCCUUCUGUUGUUGAGUCCUAGUGUCAUUCUACUAUGAUUGAAAAAGACACUUUGUAUGAUUUUCAUCUUUUUAAUUUAUCAAGUCUUAUUUUGUGCCCUACCAAAGGUCUGUCCUGGAGAAUGUUUCAUGUGCACCCAAGAAAAAUGUGUAUUCUGCUUGUGUUGAGUGGGAUGUUCUGUAUACAUCUGUUAGGUUUAAUGGGUGUAUGGUGUUGUGUAAGUCCCUCUAUUUCAUUAUGAAUCAGUCCGUUUGUUCCAUUAUUGAAUGUGGAGUGUUGAAGUCUCCCAACUGUUAUUGUAGCCCUGUGUCUAAUUCUCCCUUCAAUUCUAUGUCUGCUUAUAUAUUUUGGGGCUCUUGUUUUGUGAAUAUAUCUUUGUAUUUAUCACAUUUUCUUGGUGAAUUGGCCCUUUUAUUCAAUAUAUAAUGGCUUUCUCCAUCUCUUACAACAGUUUUUGAUAUUUUGUCUGAUAUUUUUACAGCCACCCUGCUCUCUUUUGGUUACUAUUUGUGUGGAAUAUCUUUUUCCAUCUUUUCAUUUUCAAACUAUGUGUGUCCUUAUAUUCAAAGUGAGUCUCUUAUAGACGGUAAAUAGAUCAUUUUUUUAAUCCAUUCUGCUAGUCUGUGUCGUUUGAUUAGAAAGUUUAAUCCGUUUGCAUUAAAAGUAAUUACUAAUGAAGGACUUGUUAUUCUGCUGUUUUCUGUAUGUCUUAUACCUUUUUUGUUCUUCAUUUACUGCUUUACUGCCACCUUUUUUAUAGGGACAUCUUUUGAUUCUCUUCACAUUUCCUUUUGUGUAUAUUCUAAAGAUACUUGCUUUAUGGUUUCCAUGGUGAGUGCAUGUAACAUUCUUAAGUUAUAACAGUCUGAGUUGAUACUAACUUCAGUUGCAUACAAAAACUACUACUGGUCACACUAUCUCCCCCCAACCCAUUAUGAUAUUGUCACAAAUUACAUCUUUAUGUAUUAUAUGCCCAAUAACAGAUUUAUAGUUAUUUUUGUGCAUUUUUCUUUUAAAUUCUCUGCAGUUGCUCUUGAUUGAUCUUUGAGAAUCACUAACAGUUAGCAGGCAAGUGAAAGUAAAGGAGGAAACUAGAAAGAGAUCUUUUUUUCUUUAAGCCCCUUUUUGUAAAUUGACUUUUAUGACUUAUAUGAUGGCCCAAUCUGCCAUCAGAUUUGUAGACACUUACACUAUCCCCAUUUUUGCCUGCCUUAUCCCUUAGCUUCCUGUUUCAUAUGACCCGAGGCUAAAUUUAGGGCUAACCAGUAGGCCUUGCUGUAUGCUUCAACUCCCUCUGACUUUUCCUCCUUGCUAGGAGUUGAUUUGCCUGGUGGGUUCAUGGAAAACAGAGCCAAUGGUGUUUAGAAGGUGGCUUCUACUGCUAGUCUACUCUCUGCUCUCCCAUGAGGAGACAUGAAUAAGGAGCACCACUUGUGCUGUCAGUGGUGGCUCUAGAGAAGUGGGCAGAGCUAACCUUAGAAAAAAAUUGUGUCCCCGUUACCAUUGCUGAAAGUCCACCAAAAAUCUGCCUCCUUACUUAACAUAAUAAAUUUCAAGAGUAUAAUCCUAGCCUUGCAAAGUAGAAUGACUGGUUUGCUUGCUCUGAAAUCUGCAUUGUGAUUUCUAUAUGACCUGAAGAAGUCAUAAUAGUAACAUAAGUAGUAGUCAUGGUGUUAGCAAAUUAUGUGCCUGGUACUUUCUGUGCACCUUACAUAUAUUAAAUUAUUUAAUUCUCAUACUGACCUUAUAGAUAUGUGCUAUUAACUACAUGUUAUAAACAAAAAAAUUGAAAGGCUGCAAGGUUAAAUAACUGCUAAAAGCCAUAUGAGUAACAUGUGGCAGAGCCAAGAUUCAAACGUAGGCAUCCGGCCCCAAAUUCUGCACUUUUAACCACUUCACUCUAGAGCUAGCACUCAUGGUCCAGGAUCAUAGUGAGCUUUAUUCUUUGUCUAAAAGUUGAACCUAUUCCUUGUUAUUUGUAAUUAUUUAUGCCCCUGCUUCUUUCUGAAAUAUCUAAGACUUCUGUCAGAAAGGAUACAGGCAUUUCAGCUUGUUUUCCUAAUACACCUUGUUUUGUCCAUCUCUGGCCAUACUUGUGUACCAUUCCAGCUUUCUGUUUUUCCCUUAAAACCUGCUCAUUUCUUUUCACUUUUCUUUUUUUCCAGUCUGUCACCCAUUCGUGUUUUUACUUCUUUUCCUGUCUAGCUUAUUGCUCAUCAUAUAAAAUAUCACUUCAGAAUAUAAAAAUAUUCUUUUACCACAGCCUGGAAGCCAUGGCUACGUAAUCAUUCUCUGGCCUGCCCUGCAAACCACCAGCUUUCAGUCCUUCUUUUGCUUCAUUCAGGCCACAUCAUUUGUAGCCUAGACUGCUGUUAGUCUGAUUGGGGUGUCAUAGCAAAAUAAAAUCAGCAGGGUGGCUUAAACCACAAAAAUUAAUUUGCUCACAGUUCUAGAGGCUAGAAGUCUGAGAUUGGGGAGCCAGCAUGGUUGAGUUCUGGUGAAGGCCCUCUUCCUAGCUUGCAAAUGGCUGCCUUCUGGCCGUAUCUUCAGAUAGCAGAGACCUCUGAUUCCUUCUCUCCUUACAGAGCCACAGUGCUGUCAGAUUAGGGCCCUACCCUUAUGACUUGGUUUACUCUCAAUUACCUGUGCAGGUCCCAUCUCCAGAUGGAAUUGCAUUGGGGGUUAGGGCUUCAGCAUAUGAGUUUUGGAGGGGUGUGAGUUUAGUCUGUAGCUGCUGCCAUCAAGAUCUCUUGAUUGAUUCCCCCGCCUCCUUCAUUAUGACUCCGUUUAAUCCAUCUUCAGUAUUGCUAAAAUCAACCUUCUGAAAUUCAGAACUGGGGCACCUGGGUGGUUCAGUCAGUUAAGUCUCCAGCUUUGGCUCGGGUGAUGAUAACACAGUUCGUGACUUCGAGCCCUGCGUCAGGCUCUGUGCUGACAGCUCAGAGCCUGGAGACUGCUUCAGAUUUUGUGUCUCCCUCUUUCUCUGACCCCCCCCCCCCCCCCGGGCUCACACUCUGUCUCUCUCUCAAAAAUAAACAUUAAAAAAAAAUUGAAAAAUAAAAUUAAAUUCAGAACUGAUCACAACAUUCCCAGAGUAAAAUCCAUCAGUAGUGGGGCGCCUGGGUGGUUUAGUCGGUUAAGCAUCUGACUUCAGCUCAGGUCAUAAUCUCACAGUUUGUGAGUUCGGGCCUCGUGUUGGGCUCUGUGCUGACAGUUCGGAGCCUGGAGCCUGCUUCAGAUUCUCUGUCUCCCUCUCUCUGACCCUCCCCCAUUCAUGCUCUUUCUCUGUCUCAAAAAUAAACAUCAAAAGAAAAAAUUUUUUUUAAAUCCAUCAGCAGUUUUACUUGCUUUAUGCAGAAUCUGGUUCAUAUUUCUUAAUGUGUCAUAUAAGGCCCUGCAGGAUCUCCUUGCCUGGCUCAUUCCUUGGUGCCCUGGACUCCAGCUAAACUACUAGCAGUCAUGGUUUCCUAAAAGCUGUCUCAUUCUUCCUUGCCUUGUCCCAUGUACUUUCUCCUAUUGUCUCCCUUGCAAAAACCAACCCAGUUUCUAAGAGUCACCUCGUACAGCACUCCUCUGUGUCCUUACAUGCUUCUCCCUCUGCACAAGGAAGUUACUACUCUCUUUGUAUUCCCACAGCUCUCUGCACCUUCACCCUGACUGCUUAGUUCUUUACAAAUUAGCCUCCUCCUUUUGCUCCACUCAGUGUUAGAGUAAUGAUCUCAGACUUGCCAUCUUGCCAUAAGCAACUGGAAAUUGGCCAAAAUUAAUGAAACAACUGUUUUUCAGACUUGGACACCAGGCAGCACAUAGUUGUGAUCCCUGAGAGAAGGCAAAUAAAGUCCUACAAUUGCCCCCAACUUUCUGCUUGGAGAUAUUUUCUGGACUACAACACAGGGAGGGGGAGGGAACCUAAGCAGACCAGUCUUGCUGAGUUGAGGAGACAGAUAUCAGCAUUGGGGAAUGCUAGGACACUCGGAAAGUACAAGGCAGAGAACCAUAGAAGGACUAUUCAGAAGAGCUGUAGGGGUCUCUCUGAGUCUUUGAAGUCUAAGCCACACAUGUGUAGGGUAAAAUUCUGUGAGACCAAAGAAUAACUUCUGGGUAGUUGUAAACUUGCCCACAGAGUUAGGUAGCAAAAUAUUAUAAAAGUUAGACAUAGUCAUCAUAGAAUAUUUGGAAAAUAUAGAAUAGUCCAAAGAAACAUUAUUUAUAAUACUCAGUUCUGGGGUGCCUGGGUGGCUCAGUUGGUUAAGUGUCCAACUCUUGAUUUCAGGCUCAGGUCAUAAUCUCACAGUUGUGAUGAGAUUGAACCCUGCAUCAGGCUUCGUGCUGGGCAUGGAGCCUGCUUAAGAUUCUCUUUCUCUCUUUCUCUCUCUCUCUCUUUCUCCUCACCGCCCCCCUCGCCCCUCUCCCCUUGCAUGCGCACAUGCUCUUUCUCUCCCUGUUUCUCCCCACCCCCCCCAUAUAUAUGUAUAUAUAUAUAUACACGUAUAUAUACGUAUAUAUAUGUGUGUGUAUAUAUAACGUAUCAGAAGUAACUACCAUUACUAAUUUUUCAUUUGUUCUCUUCCCAACUCCUUUAAAAAUAUAUCUGAAUUAAAUGCACAUAUCUGCAAGAUAUACCAUGUCUACCUUUAUAACUUUAGAGUUCAUCCUGUUUAAAAAUGUUUCUCACAAAAUCAAUUUUCUUUUAAUUUUCUGACACACAUCUUUUAUUCUCUUAUAAUCAAACCCUUGUUCAAUGUUCAGUGUCAUUAUACAUUCACUGCAAUAAAGAAUUUUUGAAAUUGAAAAAAAACUCAUCAUAGAGCUUAUAUAAUUUUGAAUCCUUUUUUUCUUCCUCAGUGCACAUCAUGAAUAUUUGCUAAAUUUUUUGUAACAUAUAUAUUUUGCCUUCCCAUUAUGAGAACAAAUAUAUAUUCUGAUCUCUGGAAAAAAUAAUGUUAGUUACUCUAAUAAUAAGGGGUGGCAGUGGUGUGGCUGAUCUGAAAUCCCAUAUAUUUAAUGGGAAUAGAAGUGCAUUUAUAAUUUAAUAAUGGAUGUGUCUAGGUUUUUAAUGUCACAAAGUAAUAAAAUUAGUCAUUCUCCACUUUUCAUUUUUAGAGAGGUCCAGAGGAUGGUAUUAAAACUAUUAUGCUACUCUUUGUGUUACAAACUAGUAGUGGAGGCACUGUAAAUUCAAGACCAUACUUCAUUUUUUAAGGUCGAGCUUUGAAAAUGAAGGCACAGCCAGGGAGGCUAGCUAGCCUCCUCUAGGCAGGAUCCAUUUCUAAGGAAUGUGUAGGAUAUGGAAUCUUCUGAGUCAUCACAGCUCACAGUGCUUCCAUACAAAGCUUGAGAGCCUCUGUGAUAUUUGAGAACUACAUAUGGAGAUGAUGUAAUUUGCUAACAACUUCCAAUUUCUAAUAUUUAGAGACUGAGAUGCUAUGUUAGCCUCUCCUAGUACAUCUGAGACUUCUGAACCUCCCUAUCAGAGUCUUCUCCACAUCUGAUAUCCCCUGCUUAGGAACCCAACUCACUUUAUUUCUGAACCUCUCUAUCAGUCAUGUGCUCUCAAGUUUUAGCAUCGUAUUUUUCUCCUAGUUUUUUAUUUUAGUGUAUUAGAAAAUAUUUUUGCUUUUGUUGGCAAACAGGAAGCUUUUUGCAUUGAUUUACCUCCAUCUCAUCACUAGCUUGAGACAUUUACAGCAAAUAGGAGACUGUUUUGGAGUCAGAAAGACUCAGGUUCAAGUCCCACCUCUGCCACUUCCCAGAUACAGAACUUUGAGCAUGUUAAAUAUGCUUCAAGCCCUUUAAACUUCAGUUACUUCAUCAUACUGGCUAACACAUUCAUAGUAUUGACUAUGUAUUGAGCAUUGUGUUAACCACUUUCCUCUACUGCCUCCUUUACAUGUCCCAACAACCUGUGAGGUAAGUUCUGUUGUGUUCCCUCUUUUACAUAUGAGACACACUGAAGCUCUGAUUAAGUAACUUGCCUGACAUGUCUGGUAAGUAGCAGAGCUAGAAUUUGAAUCCAGGCAUUCUGUGUUCCCAUUAUUCCAAACUGAUUCAUUUAUAAAAUGGAGAUAAUUAUAACUUCCUCAAGGAUUGCUGAGGGAUUGAAUUAUAAAAUAUGCAGACAGUCCUUAGCACAUAAUAAAUCACUCAGUAGAUAGAAUCUGUAAGAAAUAGCAAUAAGUUUUUUUCCCUUUAUUCUAUUCCACACUUUUCCUUCACUGCUUUAGAUUAUUAAUAACAAGGGUAUUAUUUUCUUUCAGUCUCUUUGCUAUGGUGCUUCUGAAAAUCACUGUCUUCUACAGCAGAUCUGGAGAGUAGAUCAGAACAUUUUUCAGUGGGGAUGUUUUUUCAUGCAGCCCUAUGUGAUACACAAAUUUACAUAUGCCCAUGGUGGGCAUUAAUUACAUGGCUUCUAGUUCUAUCCCCACAAAUACCAUACAUCUGGGGCAAGGGGGAUAAAUAAGUGAUCUCAUUAGGUGGCAUCUUCUCCUUGCCUAAAACCUGGCAGAUCGUCUUAGCUAUAAAAACAGGCACACUGGAAUCCGGGUCUUAUAUCAGUAGAAGAAUACUUAAUUUUUCUCUGUAUUUAUUAUAGCUGUUCUAAAGAAAUUCCAAUGGUGGUUCUGCUGAAAUUUGUGUCAGAAGGAGACAAUAUCCCAGAUGCUCUAGGUCUUGUUGAAUAUCUUAAUGAAUGGCUUCAGAUAAUCAAACCAUGUGUAAGUUUUACUACAUUUAAGCCUCUGGUUUCUCCAGUUAUGUAUUUGUAAACUUGUAUUUUAUAUUCUAUAUAAGUAGGCCAAAUAAGUGAAAAUUUGAUACAUCUUUAUGUAAAAUUUAGUUUAGCUCAGCUUUUGAAAAGAUAAGAGAGCAUUUAACCAACCAGUUAUCUACAGUUGUUUCAUUAAAGCUGAUUUUCCAAAAAAGGAAAACUUUUAAGUACUUCAUGGUAUUAAUUGGUCACAUUGCAUUAAUCAUAUCAGACAUAUUUUUACAAGAAUAAACAAAUUUCUUUCAAAUUCAGGAUUUUUUUUUUUCAGGAAAGCAAAAGAUAUUUAUGUAAGCAAUACUGUAACUAUUAAAUACAUAUUAUAAUUAAAAUACUUUUCUCUGUUAUAAGAGCAUUACACCCAGGGAAAUCAGUUAGCCUUUAGGCAUAAUAGAAGCACUGUAAGGCUGCUUUAUAUGAUAGGUACUGUUUUUUAAUUCAUGCUUUUGCUAGGAACAAAUUGAUACAAAUCACACAGCACUGAUUUUUUUUUAUUUUUUUACCUCAGUUCCCUUCAAAUUUGAUUUUACUGGAUGGACUUCACCCAUAGCCUUUCUGGCAUAUCUUUAUGAUUUGGAACUUAAGGAAAUCUAUCUUCAGUUAAUAUAGAGACAUGGAAAUUUAUUGCUUUGUUUUUACUUACAGUGAAACACAACUAAAAGUGUCAAAGUCAAAAAGAGCAGAAAAAAAAGAAACUAGAAAAGGGGUCUUAUGCUACUUAAAUGUGAAAAGGGGUUUGGUGGUAAAGUUGAAGGAUUAAACUUUUUUUUUUUUUUUUCAGUUACAGUGUGAUGACCCCACAGCAUCUGCCUUGCAGUGGAAAAUGCCAAGUUCAUGGAGAUUACUCUUUGGCAGUGGUCUUCCUCCUGCGCUUUUUUGAUCUGUUUUCAGUUUUAUAACUUAUGUCUCAAGGUACUUAUUACCAACACAACUGUUAAACAAAUAUUAUCUGAGAAUGUAUUAGGAAAUAAAUCUUUUCACAGAAAAUCUCAAAAAAAAAAAUGGAUUAACAAAAAGUUGUUUUGCCAUGCAUUUCAGUAUUUACAACAAAUGUAAAUUUUGUACAAUAAAAUAUUUCCUAAGUAA